Molecule: non-coding RNA, 812 nt
Filed under: Microcerotermes sp.
Lineage: Eukaryota; Metazoa; Arthropoda; Insecta; Blattodea; Termitidae
Source: RNAcentral
GUGAAGUUUUAUUCUUGCUUUUUCGUUCAAUGUUUGUUUGUUCUAUAUGUAAGUUUGUGCAUGAGUUGAAUUGUAGUUCUAGAUGGGCUAUAAAGUGUAUGGUUUGAUUCUCAUUAGUUGUUAUUGGUUGUUCAAGUAUUCUUGUAUCUAGCAAUGUAUUUUAGUUUCGGUUAAAUUUUGUGCCAGCAGCCGCGGUUAUACCUUGGAAGCAUUUGAAUGUGUUUGGCAUUAGGUAGUUAGAUUAUUGUGAUUUGUUGAUUAUAUUUUGUUUGUUGUUAGGUGAAAUUUUUAUUGUUUUGGUUUCAUUGUUUUUAUUUGGAGGCUAUGAAGCUCUUUUUGUAAACUAGGAUUAGAUACCCUAUUAUUUUAGAGUGUUAAUUGGUAUAUGCCUGAGUAGUAUUAGUUAUGUUCUUGAAACUUAAAGAAUUUGGCGGUAUCUCAUUCCGUCCAGAGGAAUCUGUCUCGUUAUCGAUAGUCCACGUUGGACCUUACUUAGUUGCUUUGGUUUGUAUACCGCCGUUUAUUGAUUAUCUUUUUAGGGUUUGUUUAAUUUUCUGGUUUCUUUAUUUUGAUUUAUUUCAGGUCAAGGUGCAGCUUGUUUCUAAGUGAAUGAUGGAUUACAUUGUUUAAUUUGUUUUAUGGAUUAUUGAUUUUAAUAUUGGUAUGAAAUUGGAUUUGGUUGUAAUGAUUUGUAGACUGUUAUUAUGAUAAGUGGUUCUGGGAUAUGCACACAUCGCCCGUCGCUCUCGUUUUGUUGUUAAUGAGAUAAGUCGUAACAAAGUGGCUGUACCGGAAGGUGCAGCUGGAUUGGG